AUGGAUGCACUCGAGGUGCGCUACGGCCACUACGUGCUUCUGGCGACGGCUGUCGGAUAUGGUGAGGAGAAAGUGACGCCAGUAGCUCUGCUGGCGACCUUGGAGAAGCGUUGCGGCGUGCUGCCAUCGGAGGUGGUCAUUGAGGUCGCAUGCCCACCACACGACUUGUGGCUGACCUUCUCGAUGGAGGAGAAGUGCACUGAUGUGCUCUUCUCGUCGAUGAAGAUCAAGUGUUGCCGACGCUGGUUGCAGUUUUCACGCUGGAGCAAAAUGGUUCGCGCCCAGCCGGGGGCUCUGGAGUACAAGAGCAAGCUCAGCUUUGAUGGCCUCCCGAACCAGCCCGGACAACGGCUUCGGUGCAAGAAGUUCUGA
RNAcentral lists this ribosomal RNA (372 nucleotides) under Triticum aestivum (bread wheat). RNAcentral's name for it is "partial small subunit ribosomal RNA". Lineage: Eukaryota; Viridiplantae; Streptophyta; Magnoliopsida; Poales; Poaceae. The record is from RNAcentral.